ACGGGAGGCAGCAGUGGGGAAUAUUGCACAAUGGAGGAAACUCUGAUGCAGCGACGCCGCGUGAGUGAAGAAGUAGUUCGCUAUGUAAAGCUCUAUCAGCAGGGAAGAUAGUGACGGUACCUGACUAAGAAGCUCCGGCUAAAUACGUGCCAGCAGCCGCGGUAAUACGUAUGGAGCAAGCGUUAUCCGGAUUUACUGGGUGUAAAGGGAGUGUAGGUGGCCAUGCAAGUCAGAAGUGAAAAUCCGGGGCUCAACCCCGGAACUGCUUUUGAAACUGUAAGGCUAGAGUGCAGGAGGGGUGAGUGGAAUUCCUAGUGUAGCGGUGAAAUGCGUAGAUAUUAGGAGGAACACCAGUGGCGAAGGCGGCUCACUGGACUGUAACUGACACUGAGGCUCGAAAGCGUGGGGAGCAAACAGGAUUAGAUACCCUGGUA
Molecule: ribosomal RNA, 434 nt
Filed under: uncultured Lachnospiraceae bacterium
Lineage: Bacteria; Bacillati; Bacillota; Clostridia; Lachnospirales; Lachnospiraceae
Also listed under: 1 other name
Description: partial 16S ribosomal RNA
Rfam family: Bacterial small subunit ribosomal RNA
Source: RNAcentral